RNAcentral lists this ribosomal RNA (444 nucleotides) under Tayloria cf. grandis 'Pande'. RNAcentral's name for it is "partial 16S ribosomal RNA". It matches the Rfam family "Bacterial large subunit ribosomal RNA", at positions 1817 to 2596 of the family's 2925-position model. The record is from RNAcentral. Lineage: Eukaryota; Metazoa; Mollusca; Gastropoda; Stylommatophora; Streptaxidae.
AGCCUUAUGGUAAAAUUUAUAUAUAAGGUUAUUUCUGCCCAGUGAAUAAAUUUUAACGGCCGCAGUACCCUGACUGUGCUAAGGUAGCAUAAUAAAUUGACUUUUAAUUGAAGUCUAGAAUGAACGGAAAAAUGGGGAAAGUCUGUCUAUGUCUUAAUUGUAUUUAACUUACUUAAAAGGUGAAAAUUCCUUUAGCUUUAGAUUAAAGACGAGAAGACCCUUAGAAUUUUUAUAAAACAUAUUAUUAUAGUAUUUUAUUUUUGUUGGGGUGACAAAGUAGAAAUAAAUAACCUACUUUUAUUUUUAAGCCGAAUAAAUUAUGAAAGAAUAAAUUACCUUAGGGAUAACAGCAUAAUUCUUGUUAGAGAUUGUGACCUCGAUGUUGGACUAGGAACUUUAUAAUUAGUAAUUAAAGUUGAUGGUUCUGUUCGAACUUUUCCUCCU